This 447-nucleotide ribosomal RNA is filed under the name uncultured bacterium. RNAcentral describes it as "bacterial SSU rRNA". It matches the Rfam family "Bacterial small subunit ribosomal RNA", at positions 32 to 506 of the family's 1533-position model. The record is from RNAcentral.
AUCAACGCUGGCGGCGCGCUUAACACAUGCAAGUCGAACGAGAAAGCCGGGGCAACCUGGUGAGUAAAGUGGCGUACGGGUGAGUAACACGUGGGUAAUCUACCUUCUGGUGGGGGAUAACCCUGGGAAACCGGGGCUAAUACCGCAUAACCCCGCAAGGGAAAAGCAGCAAUGCGCUGGAAGAGGAGCCCGCGGCCGAUUAGCUAGUUGGUAGGGUAAUGGCCUACCAAGGCUGUGAUCGGUAGCCGGCCUGAGAGGGCACACGGCCACACUGGCACUGAAACACGGGCCAGACUCCUACGGGAGGCAGCAGUGGGGAAUCUUGCACAAUGGGGGAAACCCUGAUGCAGCGACGCCGCGUGAGCGAUGAAGCCCUUCGGGGUGUAAAGCUCUUUCGGCAGGAACGAUAAUGACGGUACCUGCAGAAGAAGCUGCGGCUAACUACGU